GCUUGCAUCCUCCAGUCUACUGAAAAUUGGCCAGGAGACAGAUAAAACUACAACAAGAAAUAGAGAAUCUGUUUAUUUACUGCUAGAUAUGGUAAAUUGUACAAGAAUCUCCAUUCCUUACAAUGGAUCUUUUGGAAUCUUGUUUUCCUUAUGUCUUGCUGAGAAAUGCAUACCAUGCUGUCUACAAACAAAGUGUUACAUCUUCUGCAUAAAAUUACCUACUUAAUCAAGAUAAGCACGCAUUUUUGUUGCCUUGGUUUUACCUGUAGACUGUGGAACUAUUUUACCUUAAGACCUGAAAAAGUUUUGUGGAUUAUAAAUUUCUUUCAUACGGUUGUAUUUUCUGAUCAUUGGUUUCUUAAUAUGGUUGUACUACAGUAUACUUGGUUGAUUUAGGUUGCACAUUCACUGAAUUCACUGAGAUUAUUCCUAUAAUUUUAAAGUAUCAUUUAUUUGAAAAACAUACAUUAUCAACAUGUUUUUGAUAUUUGAUAAUGAAAAAAAUCUUUGCUUGUUUAUUUCUGAAAAAGAACUGUAUUUAGUGAUUAUUUUAGAUAGUGAUAUUAUAGUAUUCAUCUGUGUGUAAAUUAUUUCAUAUAGGGAAGAGUUCUGAUCUGUACCUAUGGUUCUUAUUGAAAACAACAUUGGAUGUGCAUUUCUGUGAUGUUAUGAAUACAUUUCUACUUUAUUUUGAAACAUUUGCCAAACUAAAUACUGUAACACUGUAUAACAUUUAAAAAUGUUAAAGAACUGCUUAGUAUUAGAAGCAGAUCAUUUCCCAAAAUUCUAAGAGCAGCAGCAUAUGUUGUUGCUUGUAUAAAGCCUAGCGAUAAUUUUUAGACUAACUUCCAUGGUGCCCUGUUGGCAUUAGCACUACCAUUGUACCCUGCUGUAUAAUAAACAAUCUUAGACAUUUAUCAACUGUUGAUACAAAUGUUAGUCCCUAACCACUUUUUAUAUAUGUUUUAAAUUUUUGAAAUUCAAGUGUACCUGCCAUAACAUAAAAUAAACACUAGACUGUAUCAC
This 1026-nucleotide long non-coding RNA is filed under the name Homo sapiens (human). RNAcentral's name for it is "HSALNT0044329". The record is from RNAcentral. Lineage: Eukaryota; Metazoa; Chordata; Mammalia; Primates; Hominidae.